CUGUCUCAGUUCGGAUUGGAGGCUGAAACCCGCCUCCAUGAAGUUGGAUUCGCUAGUAAUCGCGCAUCAGCCAUGGCGCGGUGAAUACGUUCCCGGGCCUUGUACACACCGCCCGUCAAGCCAUGGGAGCCGGGGGUGCCUGAAGUUCGUGACCGCAAGGAGCGACCUAGGGCAAAACUGGUGACUGGGGCUAAGUCGUAACAAGGUAUC
This 210-nucleotide ribosomal RNA is filed under the name uncultured bacterium. RNAcentral describes it as "partial 16S ribosomal RNA". It matches the Rfam family "Bacterial small subunit ribosomal RNA", at positions 1283 to 1500 of the family's 1533-position model. The record is from RNAcentral.